AUACAAAAUUUCAGUUCUGAUUCGAUUCAUCACAUCUAUUCAUGGAGCAUUGGGAUCGUAUUCAAGACUCCCUGAUACUCUAUUGAAGCCGUCAAGUUGGGGUCUCUGCCACUAGCAAUGGGCCUGAGCCAGACAAAGAAAUGUAGAAGCUUCAGGAUUUUGACUGGUACCGUAAAACUGGUGCCAGGGUUGGUGGUGGGUUUUUAUCAUUUCUUCACAAGGAGGUUGAGAAAAAUCAAAUAUCCAUUUGCUCGUACUUUGGCUCGGCGAAUAGAGAGGCUCCCUGAACAAGUGGACGAGUAUAUUUGAUGAGGUCGUCCAAUGAAGGUGAGUUCAUCAGUCCAAUCACCUACCAUUGAUGAAAAUGAAAUGACUCCACCUUCACCUACGACCUAUGGUGCGCUUACAAAGCCUCGCCAUUGAUGAUUUGAAGGUAUAUAUUGUAUUGACUCGGUUCGUGAACUCUGUGAUAGCAUAUAGAAUAAGAUUAUACGAGUUUUUUAUUUGCUUUGUUAAUUAUGGCUAUUAUCAGCGUCAAUGUUUGUAAAAGUGUAAUUACCUUCUUCUUCUUUCCUUUCCUUUUUUUUUUUUGUUUUUUGGAAAGACGUUGCUAAAGAACUCAUGUUCUCCGUUCCAAGAAGUCCUUUUUCUUUUCUUAAUUUUUCUCUUGGUCUUAUUUUUUGCGAAUUCAGAACAUUGUGGCCUUUUGUAAUAUUAUCACAUUUUCUUGGUUUGCGAAAUAUUUUUUAUGAAAAUAAAACGAGGAUCUUUAUGUUUUAUUCUCUA
Molecule: long non-coding RNA, 786 nt
Organism: Quercus robur (English oak)
Lineage: Eukaryota; Viridiplantae; Streptophyta; Magnoliopsida; Fagales; Fagaceae
Exons: 3
Source: RefSeq, a predicted model, not a curated record